AACAGUAUUUAAUAAUUCAAAGAACAUUCAUGAAACAUGACAGGCUGGAAAUCAUGCAGCUGGCCAACAUUUCUGUCCAAUUAAGAGAUCAAACACAUGCAAUCUACAAGCCCUGCAGGGGCCUCAGUUUACAUCUCAGGAACUUGAUUCUUGUGAGGCUUGGAUUGCGUAAAUAGAAAGAGAAAGAAACGGUGAUAGAGAGAAUGAGUAAUACCAGACAUGAAGUAAAAGCUUCUGUGUUACAAAGUCUGCAGAAGCUACUCAUGAUUCACAGGGGCACCGAGGUGUGGUAAACAGUCCGAUAAACGUAAGAGCUAAAGAAUGUGAGUGGAAGUACCUCGAGCUGAGUGGGAGUGAAUAAGACAGUGGGAGGGAGCAAAAAGUGGAGGUGUGGCGUUUCAUUCUGUCACUGUUGUAGCUAAGCAGUUUAAAACAGUUCUUUCAUACUCUGCCUCCUCUAAGGUCGAAACUGGAGCUAAAGAAGCUAUAUAGUUCACAUACAUAACUGACAAUAAGAGGAAGUUUGGAUGGGAAGUCGUCUCGAAUCAAGUUGUGACAUCGACAUGUGACAUCUUUGUCAAAGGACACUAGAACUUCUGUCACUACAUAAACUGAAAGAAUAAUUAGUAGAGUAUUGAUCACCAGCCAGUUUCUACCCACACCAAAACACCAAACUUAUUUGGUUAUUAAGUACCUUUGGAUCUCUGGUCAACCUGAGGAAUUUUGGACCCUUCUUCUCUCAAGAUCAAGUCUGGGCGAGUCUAAAUGUGCGCAAACGAACUAGAAGAAGUGAAAGUUGAGGAUGCUUUACUUGAACGGCCUGAGACGAGGUCUGACUCGCACAGUAUCACCUGUCAUGACAUCUGUAAGGACACAGACCAUCGUAAACUAGCCAUUUGCAGCAUCAUAUGUGGCCUCUCCUGCUUUGGAAUUAUAUCCCUCAAGUACUCUGUCAAGGCUCGAGAGAUGAAAAAAAGACUUAAAAAUGAAGAUUGUCCACAAACACGAAAGAAGGUUAAGAAGUACUCAGAAAAGGCGUGUAAAUGGGGAAUUGGGUCCAUUGUAGCCUGGGUGGUUUUAAUUCUCAUCUUUCCAUUGCUUGUGGGAUUUGUGUCCUUUGUCGUAACCUUCAUGGACUGACACUGAAGAAACUUUUCUACAGUUGUACAACUGUAGGAGUGCAGAAACAGACUCUUUCAGUGCUCACAUUGGACACUGCAUCUAGACCAUCCAAAAAUUUCACUUGACGACAACAGGUUGGGCAUUAAUGGUCAGUAUUUAAAUUCUCUGUUUUGGAAGAUGCUUGUCUUUAGUUUGGAUCAAAGGUCCACAACUUUCUACCUAUAACAUAAGAGGAUUCAACAGUUUGCAUAAAGGACUAAACAUAACUUGUAUGCCUUCUGGUAGUAGCAAAACACACUGGAUUGUAUUAGUGACAUACUUAAAUCACUGCAAUUAAAGAAUUUGUUAUACAGUAGUCAACAUUCAAAGUGGAUCAAAACCUUUCAUCAAAGUUGUCCUAAAAGCAAAAUGCUUUCUUGAACUUUUUUGAUCCACUUCAAAUGUUGACUACUGUGUGCGUGAGAUGGAGCCAUGCAUAAAACCAUCAGCACUGUCCAGACAGAAGCUACUUUUACACUUCGGAAAGCUGAUUUUAUUUAUGCUCUUAAUUGGAAAUGAAACAUUGAGACACUCACAGAGAGCAUGACAGUCAAAUGUUGAGAUAUGGAUGUGGUUACAUUAUUAACAAUCUGUUCCUGUAAAUACAUUGUACUGUUUCAAUACGUUGUGCUUUUGAUGUUUUGUACACUGCCUGUAUUUCAGCCUUUGUAAUAAAAUGUGUAACAGUCAAAAUG
Onychostoma macrolepis is the source of this 1856-nucleotide long non-coding RNA. RefSeq lists it as uncharacterized. NCBI's taxonomy places the organism in Eukaryota, Metazoa, Chordata, Actinopteri, Cypriniformes, Cyprinidae. The transcript has 3 exons. The record is from RefSeq and is a predicted model, not a curated record.